GGCUCCGUAGCUCAAUGGAUAGAGCAGUUCCGUCCUAAGGAAAAGGUUGUGCGUUCGACUCGCACCGGAGUCACCA
Molecule: transfer RNA, 76 nt
Filed under: Candidatus Saccharimonadota bacterium
Lineage: Bacteria; Candidatus Saccharimonadota
Also listed under: 1 other name
Description: tRNA-Arg
Rfam family: tRNA
About the family: Transfer RNA (tRNA) molecules are approximately 80 nucleotides in length.
Source: RNAcentral